Molecule: ribosomal RNA, 857 nt
Filed under: uncultured bacterium
Lineage: Bacteria
Description: bacterial SSU rRNA
Rfam family: Bacterial small subunit ribosomal RNA
Source: RNAcentral
CAGGCCUAACACAUGCAAGUCGAGCGGGGAAAGGUAGCUUGCUACCUGACCUAGCGGCGGACGGGUGAGUAAUGCUUAGGAAUCUGCCUAUUAGUGGGGGACAACAUUCCGAAAGGAAUGCUAAUACCGCAUACGCCCUACGGGGGAAAGCAGGGGAUCUUCGGACCUUGCGCUAAUAGAUGAGCCUAAGUCAGAUUAGCUAGUUGGUGGGGUAAAGGCCUACCAAGGCGACGAUCUGUAGCGGGUCUGAGAGGAUGAUCCGCCACACUGGGACUGAGACACGGCCCAGACUCCUACGGGAGGCAGCAGUGGGGAAUAUUGGACAAUGGGCGAAAGCCUGAUCCAGCCAUGCCGCGUGUGUGAAGAAGGCCUUUUGGUUGUAAAGCACUUUAAGCGAGGAGGAGGCUACUUGGAUUAAUACUCUAGGAUAGUGGACGUUACUCGCAGAAUAAGCACCGGCUAACUCUGUGCCAGCAGCCGCGGUAAUACAGAGGGUGCGAGCGUUAAUCGGAUUUACUGGGCGUAAAGCGUGCGUAGGCGGCUUCUUAAGUCGGAUGUGAGAUCCCUGAGCUUAACUUAGGAAUUGCAUUCGAUACUGGGAAGCUAGAGUAUGGGAGAGGAUGGUAGAAUUCCAGGUGUAGCGGUGAAAUGCGUAGAGAUCUGGAGGAAUACCGAUGGCGAAGGCAGCCAUCUGGCCUAAUACUGACGCUGAGGUACGAAAGCAUGGGGAGCAAACAGGAUUAGAUACCCUGGUAGUCCAUGCCGUAAACGAUGUCUACUAGCCGUUGGGGCCUUUGAGGCUUUAGUGGCGCAGCUAACGCGAUAAGUAGACCGCCUGGGGAGUACGGUCGCAAGAC